UACGAAGGGGGCUAGCGUUGCUCGGAAUCACUGGGCGUAAAGGGUGCGUAGGCGGGUCUUUAAGUCAGGGGUGAAAUCCUGGAGCUCAACUCCAGAACUGCCUUUGAUACUGAAGAUCUUGAGUUCGGGAGAGGUGAGUGGAACUGCGAGUGUAGAGGUGAAAUUCGUAGAUAUUCGCAAGAACACCAGUGGCGGAGGCGGCUCACUGGCCCGAUACUGACGCUGAGGCACGAAAGCGUGGGGAGCAAACCGG
RNAcentral lists this ribosomal RNA (253 nucleotides) under uncultured bacterium. RNAcentral's name for it is "partial 16S ribosomal RNA". It matches the Rfam family "Bacterial small subunit ribosomal RNA", at positions 524 to 776 of the family's 1533-position model. The record is from RNAcentral.